This 83-nucleotide transfer RNA is filed under the name Mesorhizobium abyssinicae. RNAcentral describes it as "tRNA-Leu". It matches the Rfam family "tRNA". From Rfam's summary of the family: Transfer RNA (tRNA) molecules are approximately 80 nucleotides in length. Lineage: Bacteria; Pseudomonadati; Pseudomonadota; Alphaproteobacteria; Hyphomicrobiales; Phyllobacteriaceae. The record is from RNAcentral. RNAcentral also lists the same sequence under 19 other names.
GCGGGUAUGGCGGAACUGGUAGACGCACCAGAUUUAGGUUCUGGCGAGCAAUCGUGGGGGUUCGAGUCCCUCUACCCGCACCA